CGAGUCAUCUUACAAGAGUCGGCCUGUAUCGCCUGCCCUUCCCCUGGGACGUAGCACAUCGGCCGUGGCCUCCGUGCUAACUGCCCGAAGGUGACUCCUCCGUCAUUUCGUUGGCUUCGCAGCAGCAUCUAACACAGAGGAUGUUCGGCAGUGUCUGGAGUCAUUUGGGGUCGUCGAGCCGGGGUGAAGGAUGCUGCUAGCACCUGAUUCUGCAGUGCCCGGACCCUGCCACGAACAGGACACCCCCGCGGCCUCGGAGAAACCCUGAGUGCAGACGGAGGAGGGUAUAGAUUAAAGAGGAAUCUCUGGUUCCUGGGGAGGUCACACUGCGUCCUCCCGGCCACCGGCAGGAUUGGGCCGUCUUUCCGGGAGCCCCACCUGGAGGAAGGACACGGGUCAGGAAGGAAUCGGGGAUCAGUGGGGGCUGGGGGUUCCUCGGGCUCGGUGGGGGAUGGGGGUGGGGGCUCACCGGUACACCUUCUUUCUCUCCUGGAGUUCCUGCUCCCGCUGCGCCUUAAGGAAGUCCUGGUGGUCGUCGCUCAAGGUCCGGGCUGGGGGACGGGGCACGAGCACAGGCCUCCCUGGACCCGGGUCCGCGCCGGCCCCGCCCUUCUGCCUGUCCCCUCUCCGGCGUCAUGGCGACCCCACCCCCGCGUGCCGCCCCCCACACCCUCACCGGUGCCCUCGGGCAGGCAGACGACCUGGUCGCCCCGCACCCGGCGGUAGCAGGGGAAGCGGGCCUCGCCCUGGGUCCCGGGCCGCGCAGAGAUCCGUUCGCAGAACCAGGCGUCGUCCAGCAGGAUUUUGCGCAGCUUCGCCAGCAGGAGGCGCCCCAGGUGCACGGGGACACUGACCUCGAACUCCGUCUGCGGCGGGACCGGGAGCGGGCUCGGACGCGGGCUCGGACCCGGGCUUGCGGGUCUUGCCGCCGGGGAGACGGCCCACCUUCCCUCCGAGCCGACCCGGACAGACCGCGCAGGACUGCAGGGCACCGGGCUCCGGACGCCUGCCCGGUCCCCCCGCCGUGUCCCCCCCGCACCGCCCAGCCCCUUUCCGGGGACCUCCCCACCGCCCGGCCUCCUCCCCCGGACCCCCAGUGCCCCGCGGGCUGCGCACCGACCUCACUGCGCACGGGCCACAGCUUCUUGCCCAGGUCGGCCUCCCCCUGUUCGCCCACGAGCCACAGCUGCACCAGGUUUCUGGAACCCGCCAGGAGCGAGUCCCUGGUGACCACGCGGAUAGCGUACUUGCCCGUCGCGCCCGGACCUGGAGGGCACCUGGGGGGAGAGCUGCGAUUAAAUAGAUCCGAGGUGCCCCCCUACCGUCCCCGGAGAAGGUGCACCCUGGUCUACCUGCAAACGUUCCCGAUGCCAGUUCUACGCUCUGCCCAGAGCUGA
Molecule: long non-coding RNA, 1397 nt
Filed under: Felis catus (domestic cat)
Lineage: Eukaryota; Metazoa; Chordata; Mammalia; Carnivora; Felidae
Description: lncRNA (ENSFCAG00000052841.1)
Source: RNAcentral